This 520-nucleotide ribosomal RNA is filed under the name uncultured bacterium. RNAcentral describes it as "partial 16S ribosomal RNA". It matches the Rfam family "Bacterial small subunit ribosomal RNA", at positions 28 to 507 of the family's 1533-position model. The record is from RNAcentral.
GACGAACGCUGGCGGCGUGCCUAAUACAUGCAAGUCGAACGCACUCUCGUUUAGAUUGAAGGAGUUUGCUCCUGAUUGAUAAACAUUUGAGUGAGUGGCGGACGGGUGAGUAACACGUGGGUAACCUGCCCUAAAGUGGGGGAUAACAUUUGGAAACAGAUGCUAAUACCGCAUAAAACCUAACACCGCAUGGUGUAGGGUUGAAAGAUGGUUUCGGCUAUCACUUUAGGAUGGACCCGCGGUGCAUUAGUUAGUUGGUGAGGUAAAGGCUCACCAAGACCGUGAUGCAUAGCCGACCUGAGAGGGUAAUCGGCCACACUGGGACUGAGACACGGCCCAGACUCCUACGGGAGGCGGCAGUAGGGAAUCUUCCACAAUGGACGAAAGUCUGAUGGAGCAACGCCGCGUGAGUGAAGAAGGUUUUCGGAUCGUAAAACUCUGUUGUUGGAGAAGAAUGUAUCUGAUAGUAACUGAUCAGGUAGUGACGGUAUCCAACCAGAAAGCCACGGCUAACUACGUG